This is a long non-coding RNA of Pangasianodon hypophthalmus (striped catfish), 1087 nucleotides long. RefSeq lists it as uncharacterized. The transcript is spliced from 4 exons. The record is from RefSeq and is a predicted model, not a curated record. NCBI's taxonomy places the organism in Eukaryota, Metazoa, Chordata, Actinopteri, Siluriformes, Pangasiidae.
AUGAAACUGUCACCUGUUAUGUAACAUUUAUUAACCUCGUCUUUGUUUUAUUUUAGUGCACCCAGAACUAUUCUGGGAAACGUCCUUCCUUUGUGUUUACAUCUUAUGGAAUGCUCACUGUGUUGGUUCUCAGGUCAUAUCUACCCAAGUUGGUUUCACUGCUGUCCUGCCAUGUCAAUUUAAUAACGAGCAAAUCCGAACACCGCAUGUUCAGUGGUGCACUGAUGCUGAGAUUGUGUUUGAGGGAUGGAAUGGGAAGUCGUAUGUGGGUGAGGGAUAUGAGGGCCGUGUGGACUUUCCUCAGGACGAGCUGCUUAAAGGAAACUGUUCUCUGACGUUUAAGAACAUCAGAAAAUCUGAUGCAGGAAUCUGACUGUUACUGAGACAUGCAAAGACAUCUGUCUCUACAGAAUGGAGAUUGAUUGGGAGUGUGAAAGUCUCAGUCGAUGAGCCCAAAGAAACACCAAAAAAGCCAACAGCCUCAGCCUACGCAGGAAUGACCUCUCCCUAGCCACUGGUGAGGGUCGUGUCUCUCCUCUCCUGGUUACUCUUUCCUCUCUUUAGCAAGUGAGGAAACAUCAUUACAGUAGCACAUGAAGUGAAAACUCAGACAUAUCUGCUUAUGACUGUAGCUGCUAAAGGAGCUUUCACAGUGUAGCAUGUCAUAUAUUUUGCAUUAGAAGAACAAGAAGCCUUUAUAUGUCACAUAUACAUUACAGCACAGUGAAAUUCUUUUCUUCGCAUAUCCCAGCUUGUUAGGAAGCUGGAGUCAGAGCACAGGGCCAGCCAUGACACGGCUUCUGGAGCUGAAAGGGUUAAGGGCCUUGCUCAAGGGCCCAACAGUGGCAGCUUGGUGGUGCUGGGGCUUAAACUCCUGACCUUCUGAUCAGUAACCCAGAACCUUAAACGAUGAACCAGAAGCAGUGUCUUAGGGGUUCUUAGGCACAUUGAGAAGUAGAGGAAAACCAGUCUCAAGCAGCUUAUUGCUUUUAAACAAAAUGGCUACAAAGACAAUAUGAUAAAAUAUAGUGUUCAAUAUGUAACAGUAAUUUUAAAUAAACAGUUGUAUUUGGUGAAAUUCCUGCUA